This is a small nucleolar RNA of Corylus avellana, 97 nucleotides long. RefSeq annotates it as small nucleolar RNA Z161/Z228. The record is from RefSeq and is a predicted model, not a curated record. Lineage: Eukaryota; Viridiplantae; Streptophyta; Magnoliopsida; Fagales; Betulaceae.
AAAUCAAAUGAUGAAUUUGGAUUUAAAAUUCUCACGACGGUCGUCUGAGACACGUAAGUGUCGGAGUUGAUGCAAUAAUCCAAAACUUCUGAUGGUU